AACUGCUGUCCAGCGCGCUCCACGCCUGACUGUGAGGGGGAAUCGCUUGGGAGCACCCGUCACAUGCCCAGAGAUUGCCUUCCGAGGCUUUCUGGAGUACCGUGUGCCGUGUGCCGCAGGGAGGCUCAGGGCUCCUCCUUUAUUCUAGCCUGUUUCCAGCAACCCCCAGGGCAACGUCCUGACUCUUCUGUGUGCGUCUGCAGAGCUCUCCUCCUGCGGCUUCCUGCAUCUGCAAGCUUGUUCUGAAGGCCGAGAGGUCUAAGUGCGUCACCGUGUGCAUGGUCCUUUAACCCUUCGUGUCCUGCGCCGGGAUUGAAGCCUGAGAAGGAAGGCAAAUCAAACGGAUACAACAGCUGGCAUAAGCAAUGAUAAUCAUAAAAGAGGACUUCCAGAACUGCUUCAGAAAGUGGCAAAGAAGACGGAGGAGCUUGAAGUGUGUGUUGGGGAUCAGGAAACUGGAGCAAAGGAAGUUAAGUAAGCUGCUCAAGGCCUCACAGCUAAUCAGUGAGUGGCAAAGCCAGGAUUCAAACUCACAAUCUGACUCCAGAGCUGACUUGGAACACUUACGCCAUCUACAGAGUGACUAUGAGCUUUAACGGCAAUGUCAGCCCCCCUUAAAGCCAGCAGCUUCCCCAUCCCUGCCUUGAAGGAAGUCAUGUUCAACUACAAGCACAACAAUUCAAUUUUUAACCUUGUAUCCUUCCCAAUAACUAAAACAUCUUAGGAAGUGAUCUUUCCCUUUAUUGUUCUUUCUCCACACUUUUUUUUUCUCCAAAUUUAAC
Molecule: long non-coding RNA, 782 nt
Filed under: Heterocephalus glaber (naked mole-rat)
Lineage: Eukaryota; Metazoa; Chordata; Mammalia; Rodentia; Bathyergidae
Description: lncRNA (ENSHGLG00000047871.1)
Source: RNAcentral